RNAcentral lists this ribosomal RNA (353 nucleotides) under uncultured Racocetra. RNAcentral's name for it is "SSU rRNA". It matches the Rfam family "Eukaryotic small subunit ribosomal RNA", at positions 569 to 929 of the family's 1831-position model. The record is from RNAcentral. Lineage: Eukaryota; Fungi; Glomeromycota; Glomeromycetes; Diversisporales; Gigasporaceae.
AGCAGCCGCGGUAAUUCCAGCUCCAAUAGCGUAUAUUAAAGUUGUUGCAGUUAAAAAGCUCGUAGUUGAAUUUCGGGGUUCUACCGUUGGUCGGGCUAUUGUUUGUACUGGCGUGUAGAAUUUCUACCUUCUGGGGAACUAUCAUGUUAUUAAUUUAGCGUGGUAGGAAACCAGGACCUUUACCUUGAAAAAAUUAGAGUGUUCAAAGCAGGCUUAUGUCUGAAUACAUUAGCAUGGAAUAAUAAAAUAGGACGGUGGUCCUGUUUUGUUGGUUUCUGAAUCACCGUAAUGAUUAAUAGGGAUAGUUGGGGGCAUUAGUAUUCAAUUGUCAGAGGUGAAAUUCUUGGAUUUAU